Molecule: long non-coding RNA, 850 nt
Organism: Girardinichthys multiradiatus
Lineage: Eukaryota; Metazoa; Chordata; Actinopteri; Cyprinodontiformes; Goodeidae
Exons: 3
Source: RefSeq, a predicted model, not a curated record
UAUUUCUUUUCUCAAGCAAAGAUUUUUCUUUUCAAGUAAAGUCCAUUUUUUUGUUGAUGGGAUAAAACAAAGGACAGAGCUAAUUACAAAGGUCAUUGUUUUGUUUCUGCUGUGAUCAUAUUUGUUUUGUGUGUGUUUUUGUUGACCAGACUCCACGAUCUGUUAACACCAUUGAAUGACGAAGAUCUUGAUGAGAAAAUGACACAAAUUCUGCAACACCAGCCAAACUGUGGAUACAAAAUGAUGCUUGGUCACCUGAACGCACAGGGCAUCCACAUACAGAGAUUCCAUGCGGCGUGUGGAUCCUCGUGGAGUUUUGAUGCGGACCCUUCAGCUGAAUCCACGGAGACGGAGGAGGUACUCUGUGCCAGAACCAAACAGUUUGUUGCACAUAGAUGGCAAUCACAAACUGAUAAGACGGCGUAUUGUUGUGCAUGGUGGUACUGAUGGCUUUAGUCGCCUCAUCGUAUACCUGAGUGCCUCCACCAACAACCGCGCAGCAACAGUCCUGAGCAGCUUUCUCAAAGCUGUUAACGUCUAUGGUGUACCAUCCCGUGUGAGAUCGGACAAAGGAGGGGAAAUGUUGCUCACUUCAUGGUGGUGUUGGACCACUUGUUUGCUGAAUAUUGGACUACUUGCACGGUACGGGACGCCACCAGGCCUCCUGGCGGUUUCGGCCAUUUUGUAUCCAGGACAUUGCGACUGAUAUGACGGGGCGCCCCAAGUCUGACGUCACAGGACGCUAUAUGUGGAGGCACCCAUUUUGAACACCUUGCCUUCAGCUGGAGAUCGUGACCCGAUCACCAACAUCUGAAGCAUCACCUGGAGAAGAGUCCCAAGUGGAUUUCAU